RNAcentral lists this ribosomal RNA (253 nucleotides) under uncultured bacterium. Its description in RNAcentral is "partial 16S ribosomal RNA". It matches the Rfam family "Bacterial small subunit ribosomal RNA", at positions 524 to 776 of the family's 1533-position model. The record is from RNAcentral.
UACGAAGGGGGCUAGCGUUGCUCGGAAUCAUUGGGCGUAAAGGGCGCGUAGGCGGCCCUGUUAGUCAGGCGUGAAAUUCCUGGGCUUAACCUGGGGACUGCGUUUGAUACGGCAGGGCUUGAGGGUGGAAGAGGGUCGCGGAAUUCCCAGUGUAGAGGUGAAAUUCGUAGAUAUUGGGAAGAACACCGGUGGCGAAGGCGGCGACCUGGUCCAUACCUGACGCUGAGGCGCGACAGCGUGGGGAGCAAACAGG